GAAAAGGGAGAAAAGAAGGGGCUGGACUAUCCAAUUCGACUGAAGCGGGCAAGCAACAUCGUGUAUUUAAAUAAGGAGUCCGUAAUAUUUAAAGAUUCCGAAGAAUUUCUUUAGCUUUAUUAAGAAUUCUCAGUUAACAAAAUUUUAUGAGGUUUUUUUUUUGGGGAUCAAAGCAUCUUGAUCUUUAUGUGCAAUUUUGCAAUGCACCUAAUUUCUGUUAAAACACACAUGCAUGCAUAUAAAAUAGCCAGUGUUUUAGAAUCUAAAGCUUUAUAGCUUUGUUGAAUGCACUUCAUUUUGAAAGAACAUAUGAAAUAUGGAAACAACACACAUAUAAAGUUACCUGGCAUUUGUGCUGUCUCCUUGAUGUAGAUUUCUGAAAAAACACAAUAUUGAAUUUUAUUGUUGAUUUUACUUUGGUUCGUUUAUUUUGACAUGAGAGUGUAAGUCUGUUAGCUCUUAUCUGUCUCCCUGUUUUGAUUAAAUAUGUUCUUCUUUGCAAAAGGUUUUAAAGCCUUCUGAUGACCUCGAGAGACUUGUUCAGAGAGAUCCUGAGGAUGGUGUCAGUUGUUGCACAAUCUCCAGCAUCUGCAAGGAAUAUGAUCUAGACAAGAAGGAUGUAUUAAAGUUCAAGGAGUUUCUGUAGUUUGUUUCUCAGACACACUGAAGCUGAACCCAAGUUUGAGCCUCCAUGUUUAGUUGCCUAACACCUAACACCUAUUCCAUCGAAGACCAAGCCAACGACGUGAUAGGACCAAGAGAGCCGGUAUAGAAGAUGCAUGUGCUGGGACAGGCUCAAUGAUGAAAUUUUGAUUACAUGAAAAUGUUCAUUGUAGUUGUAAGAUCAAAUAAGACAGUUACUUUUCUUUUCUUUUCUUAAUUUUUCCCUUUAUUCAUACUUUUUAGUUUAGAAACUAUUGGGAGGUUCUGCAAAAUAUUU
RNAcentral lists this long non-coding RNA (940 nucleotides) under Phoenix dactylifera (date palm). RNAcentral describes it as "long non-coding RNA (PDAC_LNC008393)". Lineage: Eukaryota; Viridiplantae; Streptophyta; Magnoliopsida; Arecales; Arecaceae. The record is from RNAcentral.